RNAcentral lists this non-coding RNA (177 nucleotides) under Dendrosporobacter quercicolus. RNAcentral describes it as "6S / SsrS RNA". It matches the Rfam family "6S / SsrS RNA". From Rfam's summary of the family: E. coli 6S RNA was the first non coding RNA to be sequenced, but its function was unknown until recently. It consists of 184 nucleotides that fold into an extended hairpin structure with a large single-stranded internal bulge. RNAcentral also lists the same sequence under 1 other name. Lineage: Bacteria; Bacillati; Bacillota; Negativicutes; Selenomonadales; Sporomusaceae. The record is from Rfam by way of RNAcentral.
GACAACCUGAGGGGUACGUCAUCUUCACAAUGUUCAACCUACGCAUUGACAUAGGGAAUUCGAUGUUACAGCAGCUGCCAAGCCGCCUUGAGCGGACGGCAAAAACUUAACUAGAAUGCCCACCUGCUAAGAGAAGCGGGUCUUGAACAUUCGAAGAAACGGCGUCUCGGGUUUCAC